UGAUUAGCUAGUUGGUGAGGUAAAGGCUCACCAAGGCGACGAUCAGUAGCUGGUCUGAGAGGACGACCAGCCACACUGGAACUGAGACACGGUCCAGACUCCUACGGGAGGCAGCAGUGGGGAAUUUUGGACAAUGGGCGAAAGCCUGAUCCAGCAAUGCCGCGUGAGUGAAGAAGGCCUUCGGGUUGUAAAGCUCUUUUGUCAGGGAAGAAACGGCGCCGGCUAAUAUCCGGCGCUAAUGACGGUACCUGAAGAAUAAGCACCGGCUAACUACGUGCCAGCAGCCGCGGUAAUACGUAGGGUGCAAGCGUUAAUCGGAAUUACUGGGCGUAAAGCGUGCGCAGGCGGUUUUGUAAGUCUGUCGUGAAAUCCCCGGGCUUAACCUGGGAAUUGCGAUGGAGACUGCAAGGCUAGAAUCUGGCAGAGGGGGGUAGAAUUCCACGUGUAGCAGUGAAAUGCGUAGAGAUGUGGAGGAACACCGAUGGCGAAGGCAGCCCCCUGGGUCAAGAUUGACGCUCAUGCACGAAAGCGUGGGGAGCAAACAGGAUUAGAUACCCUGGUAGUCCACGCCCUAAACGAUGUCUACUAGUUGUCGGGUCUUAAUUGACUUGGUAACGCAGCUAACGCGUGAAGUAGACCGCCUGGGGAGUACGGUCGCAAGAUUAAAACUCAAAGGAAUUGACGGGGACCCGCACAAGCGGUGGAUGAUGUGGAUUAAUUCGAUGCAACGCGAAAAACCU
RNAcentral lists this ribosomal RNA (740 nucleotides) under uncultured bacterium. RNAcentral's name for it is "bacterial SSU rRNA". It matches the Rfam family "Bacterial small subunit ribosomal RNA", at positions 238 to 971 of the family's 1533-position model. The record is from RNAcentral.